This 592-nucleotide long non-coding RNA is filed under the name Oncorhynchus mykiss (rainbow trout). RNAcentral describes it as "lncRNA (ENSOMYG00000054230.1)". Lineage: Eukaryota; Metazoa; Chordata; Actinopteri; Salmoniformes; Salmonidae. The record is from RNAcentral.
AUGUUUGAGCCUGUAGAAUGGAUAUAUGAAGACGUCAAUUUCCCUAACCCACCAAUCACAGACGGUUGCGUGCGUCAACACAGCGAAAGGGGGCGGUCUGUUGUCAACAUUUUUUGCAGCGCUUCGCAGUGAAGCAGCUGAAAGAGCUACCAUGGCCUCUUCGGGGUUUCGUGGUGACGUUUCCCAGGUGCGUGGCGGCCGUGAUCCCGUCUUCUCUGAGGCCAUCAACCAGAAGAUGCGUGUCCCGGACCGGCUGAGAGUGGGGCCAGGCAUGGGACAGGGAGGGGAAGAGGCGAGGCAGGGGCGUGCUGAGCGUCCCGCUUCCUAUAGCAUGCACAUCCCAGACAGGCUGUCUCUCACAGAUGCCCCGGACAUGAGCCCCCGUCCACUGUUCACGCCAUCCAAGCACAACUCAGCCCUCCCCCUGGGGCUUGCAUGGGAGGCACAGCAGCAAGGUGCCUGGGACAGAGACCCCUACAUGAGGGAACCAGUGCAGAGUCCCCUGCGGAGGUCCUACAGUGACCAGGCUUUUGGCAGGAGUGACCCUGACACCCCCACUUCCAAACAGGCACUGCACACCCCCACCUUGUAA